Molecule: long non-coding RNA, 354 nt
Organism: Sphaeramia orbicularis (orbiculate cardinalfish)
Lineage: Eukaryota; Metazoa; Chordata; Actinopteri; Kurtiformes; Apogonidae
Exons: 3
Source: RefSeq, a predicted model, not a curated record
UGUCUGUCCACCUCGUCCAGCUCUGCCUGUUUUUUCAGAACCAGGGUCUUUUGUAAAGUGUUCACUCCUGCCUCAAGGACUCUGCCAGAGGCCUACGCAAGACAUAACCAGGGUUAUAGAAGAGGCCAGACUCUAUCUGCAAACAUUUUUUUUCUGCAGUAAAAUGAAGGAUUCAUAACAAUUUGAAUGAGCUACAUGCUGGCAUUGAUUCUUACCUCUGUUACAACAGCUUUUUAUUCCAGAAAUGCAGAGCAGGUCCUGUGCAGUUAAUCCACGUUCGGACGAUCACAAGGGCAACGAGGGUCUUUCCGGAUGUUUUCCUGGAUUUGUGUGGCUGUUGCCUGGGAACCACAG